ACCUCUAGUCUAGUGAAUGCUGAAGUUCUUUGACUAACAGUUGCAAUCUAUUAAAGGUGGAGGUAGAAGUUCCAUGGAAUAAGAUCAACUGAGUUACAGAUGCCAGAGAAAUAUCAUGGUAAAUGAGCACAAGUGAGCUUAUGGUAUUUGAAAUGGUAUAGAAGUUAACAUGACAAUAUUGCUGAUCUCCAAAAUAUUUGGCUCCACAAAGUAACAGGAGAUACAACAGUUUCACAAUUUUUACUGGUAGAAGUUGUUAAACGGUAAUAAUGCUAAUCAUAUUCCAUUUGCACAGAAUUGUCAUUCGUUCAGCUUUCUUAGUCAAUCAUCUCCACAUCAGUUGAUUUGACAUUGAUAAACUGUAUACCCACCAAAGAAAUUAAAGUUCUCCAAUUUACUGAUACAAUCACCACUAAUAUUAUAGCAACGGUAAUGCAUGUCCAUUUCUUGCUCUAUUUCUUCUCGGUGGCCAACAGAAAGGCCUGAGAUAUGAUCAUGGCAUUUCAGGCAUACACACUUGGGAAAGCCCUUCUAACCUUGCAUCUCCCAGUCUAUGGUAAAACAUAUAUACAU
This 573-nucleotide long non-coding RNA is filed under the name Phoenix dactylifera (date palm). RNAcentral's name for it is "long non-coding RNA (PDAC_LNC018287)". Lineage: Eukaryota; Viridiplantae; Streptophyta; Magnoliopsida; Arecales; Arecaceae. The record is from RNAcentral.